GACGAACGCUGGCGGCGUGCUUAACACAUGCAAGUCGAACGGAAAGGCCCUGCUUUUGUGGGGUGCUCGAGUGGCGAACGGGUGAGUAACACGUGAGUAACCUGCCCUUGACUUUGGGAUAACUUCAGGAAACCGGGGCUAAUACCGGAUAGGAGCUCCUGCUGCAUGGUGGGGGUUGGAAAGUUUCGGCGGUUGGGGAUGGACUCGCGGCUUAUCAGCUUGUUGGUGGGGUAGUGGCUUACCAAGGCUUUGACGGGUAGCCGGCCUGAGAGGGUGACCGGCCACAUUGGGACUGAGAUACGGCCCAGACUCCUACGGGAGGCAGCAGUGGGGAAUAUUGCACAAUGGGCGGAAGCCUGAUGCAGCAACGCCGCGUGCGGGAUGACGGCCUUCGGGUUGUAAACCGCUUUCGCCUGUGACGAAGCGUGAGUGACGGUAAUGGGUAAAGAAGCACCGGCUAACUACGU
RNAcentral lists this ribosomal RNA (467 nucleotides) under uncultured bacterium. Its description in RNAcentral is "partial 16S ribosomal RNA". It matches the Rfam family "Bacterial small subunit ribosomal RNA", at positions 28 to 506 of the family's 1533-position model. The record is from RNAcentral.